RNAcentral lists this ribosomal RNA (222 nucleotides) under uncultured bacterium. Its description in RNAcentral is "partial 16S ribosomal RNA". It matches the Rfam family "Bacterial small subunit ribosomal RNA", at positions 57 to 305 of the family's 1533-position model. The record is from RNAcentral.
GCAAGUCGAGCGCACCCCUUCGGGGGCGCGCGGGGGACGGGUUAGUAACGCUUGGGAAUAUACCCAGAUCUAAGGAAUAGCCUCGGGAAACUGAGAGUAAUACCUUAUACGCCCUUCGGGGGAAAGAUUUAUCGGAUUUGGAUUAGCCCGCGUUAGAUUAGAUAGUUGGUGGGGUAAUGGCCUACCAAGUCUACGAUCUAUAGCUGGUUUGAGAGGAUGAUC